This 254-nucleotide ribosomal RNA is filed under the name uncultured bacterium. RNAcentral describes it as "partial 16S ribosomal RNA". It matches the Rfam family "Bacterial small subunit ribosomal RNA", at positions 524 to 776 of the family's 1533-position model. The record is from RNAcentral.
UACGGGGGGAGCAAGCGUUGUUCGGAUUUACUGGGCGUAAAGGGCGCGUAGGCGGCCACCGCAAGUCAAUUGUGAAAUCUCCGGGCUUAACUCGGAAAGGUCAACUGAUACUGCGGGGCUAGAGUGCGGAAGGGGCAACUGGAAUUCUCGGUGUAGCGGUGAAAUGCGUAGAGAUCGGGUGGAACACCAGUGGCGAAGGCGCCUAUCUGGCUGACAACUGACGCUGAGACUCGAAAGCAUGGGGAGCAAACAGG